UAGCUCAGUGGUAGAGCAUCGGCUUCCCAAGCCGAGGGUCGCGGGUUCGAAUCCCGU
Molecule: transfer RNA, 57 nt
Filed under: Bacillota bacterium
Lineage: Bacteria; Bacillati; Bacillota
Description: tRNA-Gly
Rfam family: tRNA
About the family: Transfer RNA (tRNA) molecules are approximately 80 nucleotides in length.
Source: RNAcentral